RNAcentral lists this ribosomal RNA (851 nucleotides) under Thyrostroma compactum. Its description in RNAcentral is "eukaryotic LSU rRNA". It matches the Rfam family "Eukaryotic large subunit ribosomal RNA", at positions 83 to 952 of the family's 3401-position model. Lineage: Eukaryota; Fungi; Ascomycota; Dothideomycetes. The record is from RNAcentral.
GUAACGGCGAGUGAAGCGGCAACAGCUCAAAUUUGAAAUCUGGCCUCUUUUGGGGUCCGAGUUGUAAUUUGCAGAGGGCGCUUUGGCGUUGGCAGCGGUCCAAGUUCCUUGGAACAGGACGUCACAGAGGGUGAGAAUCCCGUACGUGGUCGCUGGCCUUCGCCGUGUAAAGCCCCUUCGACGAGUCGAGUUGUUUGGGAAUGCAGCUCUAAAUGGGAGGUAAAUUUCUUCUAAAGCUAAAUACUGGCCAGAGACCGAUAGCGCACAAGUAGAGUGAUCGAAAGAUGAAAAGCACUUUGGAAAGAGAGUCAAACAGCACGUGAAAUUGUUGAAAGGGAAGCGCUUGCAGCCAGACUUGCCUGUAGUUGCUCAUCCGGGCUUUUGCCCGGUGCACUCUUCUAUAGGCAGGCCAGCAUCAGUUUGGGCGGUUAGAUAAAGGUCUCUGUCAUGUACCUCUCUUCGGGGAGAACUUAUAGGGGAGACGACAUGUAACCAGCCCAGAUUGAGGUCCGCGCAUUUGCUAGGAUGCUGGCGUAAUGGCUGUAAGCGGCCCGUCUUGAAACACGGACCAAGGAGUCUAACAUCUAUGCGAGUGUUUGGGUGUCAAGCCCGAGCGCGCAAUGAAAGUGAACGGAGGUGGGAACCCCUCGGGGUGCACCAUCGACCGAUCCUGAUGUCUUCGGAUGGAUUUGAGUAAGAGCAUAGCUGUUGGGACCCGAAAGAUGGUGAACUAUGCUUGAAUAGGGUGAAGCCAGAGGAAACUCUGGUGGAGGCUCGCAGCGGUUCUGACGUGCAAAUCGAUCGUCAAAUUUGGGCAUAGGGCGAAAGACUAAUCGAACUAUCUAGUAGCU